RNAcentral lists this ribosomal RNA (433 nucleotides) under uncultured bacterium. Its description in RNAcentral is "partial 16S ribosomal RNA". It matches the Rfam family "Bacterial small subunit ribosomal RNA", at positions 29 to 507 of the family's 1533-position model. The record is from RNAcentral.
AACGAACGCUGGCGGCAUGCCUAACACAUGCAAGUCGAACGAGACCUUCGGGGCUAGUGGCGCACGGGUGCGUAACGCGUGGGAACCUGCCCUUAGGUUCGGAAUAACUCCCCGAAAGGGGUGCUAAUACCGGAUAAUGUCUUCGAACCAAAGAUUUAUCGCCUUUGGAUGGGCCCGCGUUGGAUUAGCUAGUUGGUAGGGUAAAAGCCUACCAAGGCGACGAUCCAUAGCUGGUCUGAGAGGAUGAUCAGCCACACUGGGACUGAGACACGGCCCAGACUCCUACGGGAGGCAGCAGUGGGGAAUAUUGGACAAUGGGCGAAAGCCUGAUCCAGCAAUGCCGCGUGAGUGAUGAAGGCCUUAGGGUUGUAAAGCUCUUUUACCCGGGAUGAUAAUGACAGUACCGGGAGAAUAAGCUCCGGCUAACUCCGUG